UACAACUGUCAAAGAUCUGUCCGAUACGGAUGAAAACCAAAAUUGUGUAAUGUAGCCGGCUAACCGAAGUUGAAAGUCCUGAGGUGAUAAGAUAUUAAAACAGAUUACUGUGGCCAUAUAAAUAACGACAGUCGUGGAUAUUUUAGAAGCAUCAGUUGUCUUUUUCGUCUGUUUAUUUUUCAUUUAUAAAGUAGUGUACGCUAUGGAGGUAAUUGUUAAGCUAAAUUCGCAAACAGCCGGCCGCGAUAAACUUGUUAGGUUACUGCAGUAUACGAGCAAAUUCGCUUGGCAUUAUAUGCAGGAAAAGCAGCAUAGCAAACAGUCAGUAGAUCGAUUAAAGGAUCUGGAAUACACAUUUAGUUCUUUCAGAAAAUUGUUGCGUUUGGGCAGGUGUUUGGAUGUGCUUUACGGGGCUUUGUCAUCUGUGCAAUAUCCUGAUUUGACCCUGAGGAUAACUUGUACACUGUCCAGAAUUGCUAAUGCCUUGUACUUGUUGGCUGACCAUAUUCUUUGGUUUGGCAGAACAGGCGUGUUAAAUAUCAACAGUGCCAAAUGGAAUCAAGUUGCAAAUAAGUAUUGGCUGUACUCUAUUGUCAUGAAUUUAGUGCGGGAUGUUUAUGAGAUACUGCAGAUUGUGAAAUAUGAGACUCAUAACUGUAUAGGACUUAAACGCAUGGGUAGCCCUGAUUACUACAGAAAGCCUGCAACAGAUAAACUAUCUGUAAUUAAGUUUGUGCAAGAACACAAGGAUGUUGUUAUUGACACAGUGAAAAAUGGUUGUGACUUCUUUAUUCCAAUGUCUGCUCUGGGCUAUAUCAGAUUAAAUCCUGGUACAGUUGGUGUACUUGGUGUGAUUUCUUCAGUGGCAGCUAUCAUAAGUCUCGUCGAUCCUUUCGCCCGGCUUUCACCAGCAUAACUCAGUACGGGUGGAUUCCACAGAAGUGUGGUAUUACAGAAGAUACUCGAGAUUUUAAGUAAAAGGGGCUUCUAACAAGAGUCCUGAUGCUAACAGUUACCAGGCUGUAGGUAACACGCACCUAGGUAUUGCUGUUUGAAGCAGUCAGUGGCAGUUGUGGAGAAGGUGUGAUGGUAUACCUCAAACAACAGCAGCAUGCUGGCAGUAUAUAACAACUUGGAACACAGAAUGGUUGAGAUGCUGCCCACAGGAAAG
RNA transcript from Schistocerca cancellata (South American locust), 1171 nucleotides. It is a transcript of the gene named peroxisomal membrane protein 11B, with no coding region annotated. The record is from RefSeq and is a predicted model, not a curated record. NCBI's taxonomy places the organism in Eukaryota, Metazoa, Arthropoda, Insecta, Orthoptera, Acrididae. The transcript is spliced from 5 exons.